The sequence is a ribosomal RNA, 3957 nucleotides long. It matches the Rfam family "Eukaryotic large subunit ribosomal RNA", at positions 33 to 2422 of the family's 3401-position model.
UUUAAGCAUAUUCACUCAGUGGAGGAAGGGCAAGCAACUGCGAUUGCUCCAGUAAUGGCGAAUGAACUGGCAAUACCUCAUGGCUCAGCCUGAAGUGAUCCCAACCCACCUCAGUGGUGCCCUCUGGGCUCAGCUGCUCUGGUGGUCGGCUAUCGCGGGUUCAACCAAUGCUGUGGGCUGUGGAGCGGCUUGGCAGUGCUUGUCUGGGCUGGCCGUGGCACCAGGAAGGUGCCCUGGAAUGGACCACAACAGAGGGAUACUGUCCCCUACACUGGACUGUUGUGCCAUGGCUGCCUGGACCUCUGCUGGCCGAAUCCAAGAGUAGAGCUGCUUGAGACUGCAGUUUGAAGUGCCAGGUGUGUCCCUGGCAAGGAGCAAUACCACCGUGGGACCGAUAGUGCACAAGUAGAGUGAUUGAAGGAUGCAAAGGACUUUGUGAAGAGGGUUAAAAGUCCCUGAAGCCUUGGCAGGAACGGCGGUGUGCGGUGCUGUGCUAUGAUCAGAGCAAACCCCAGUCAAGGGCCUCCACCACUCUCUGUGUGAGUGUGGUGUGCCUGCCCUGGAGGUUUUGUGUGCAAGCCAAGCGACCUUGGGCCAGCCCCCAGCUGGCCACUGAGCCUACUCCAGAAGGUGUGGAUGCAAUCGUGGCAGCUUCUCUGAGGGGUGACAGUCAGCCUGUCAGGGCCUGAGGCCAGAACAGCGAGGAAGGGCGCUCUGCAACCAAACUGGCAAUGUCUGCUGCAGUCUCCAGUGUGGGCUUCCCAGGGGAAAGAGUAGUGUGCUGCUGCCCAGGCAGCCAACGCUGAUUGCUGGCUCUGCUCUCUGCUGGUUUUGGCUUGCCGGAGUCUCUUGUGAAUGGCUGCUGACCCUGGCGCGCCCUCGGGCGUGCCAGUCACUGGUGCCCAGCCUCAGUGGGGCCUGGUUGAGAGGUGUGGCAGGCUCACCACUUGAUGGUGACUGCUGUGCUUCUUCCUGCCCUCUGGAUGGUGCCUGGUGAAGUCAAUGGCAGUUGUGCUUGGUGCAACAGUGCCACACACUGCCCGUCUUGAAACACGGACCAAGGAGUCUAUGGACCUCGCAUGUUGGCAGGUGUGAACGUGGAAGGCCGCUAAGGCACAGUGAAGGCAAGCAAGGGCCACUCUGUGGACCCUCCAGAUGUGGUGUGGUGCUGCUGUCCGCCAGGCACAGGAAAAGAAGGGCUCUCUCUGUGAUGCAGGCUGUGUGCAACUCUGACCAGGGCUGAGGCUCUCUGUCUGUGUGCUGUGUGGGCAACACACAACAACUGCUGCAUGGAACACCAGUCCCCACGUCCAGUGGACAGGGCUUUGAGUGCUUGCAAGGUCCAUGUGACCCGAAAGGUGGUGAACUAUGCCAUUCCAUGACGAAGCCAUGGGAAACUGUGGUGGAAGUCAGUAGCUGUUCUGACGUGCAAAUUGUGUAGCCUGAGUGUGGCAUGGGGGCGAAAGGCCAAUCAAACCACCUAGUAGCUGGUUUCCCUCGAAGUUUCCCUCAGGAUAGCUGGGCUCAAGUGUGCAAUCCUCACUGCCUGUGACUAUGCUCUGAGUGGUUAUGCCCGGUAAAGCAACGCAUGAGAGGCUCUCUGUGGGGAGGCUACCUCCUCAACCUAUCCUCGAACUGUGAAUGGGCAUGGCAACACAACCAUCGUGGCAACAAAGGCAUGCUGCUUCACCAGUGCCUGAGUCUGGUGUGCCAACCACACCCAGUGCUCCCAAGGCCUCUGUGCUGAGCGUGUUUGGCUUGUGUGGUGGUGACUUCGUGCUGCUUGUCUCUCCUGAUGUGCUGACACCCAACAAAGAGGCCCAAAGGGCUACUCCUGCUCUCCCUGGUGUGGCUGUGCCCUCUCCUGCAGGCUGUGUGCCAGCUGGCAGAGGCACCCCGAACAGGAGGCAGAGGGGAACCCUGUGUGGCCACUCCCUGUUGUGGCUGUUGUGCCAUCCCAGAGGUGAACCUGUGUGGCAAACAAGGCAAAGAACCUACCAAAGCGCCCAGAAGGGGCUGGUUGGCUGUGGGAUGGAAUGGCAAAGGCAGGCCUGCCAAGGCUGUGUGCUGCUGCUGUCUCCCCGGUCUCCUCCCUGUGUGGCAAUGGUGAUGGAUGACUCUCUGCCCUCUGUCGAAGCCCUGUGCAAAGCAACUCCAGCCCUGUGCAAAGCUGUGUGCUGCCUGUGGCUGCUGCUGCUGCUUCUGCUAGUCACCCCUGUGCAGGGUUGAACAAGUGUGCCUGUGUGGACCAGGAUUGGUAAGCAGUGCUGGUGAUGCGGGGUGCUCCGAGAGUGGACUUACAGUGCCAGAGUGCUGGCUCAUACUCAGAUCCCACAAAGGAUGCUGCAUGCUCUGGAUAGCAGGUCGGUGGCCAUGAAGGUUGGAACCCGCUAAGGACUGUGUAACAACUCACCUGCCGAAGUGUGCAGCUCCCAAAAUGGAUGGUGCCCAAGUCAGUGAAGCUGAAUGUGCCUCACAGUCCACCACUGCUGUGGCAGUUGAUGAUGAGCAGAGCAUUGGUGUGUAGAGAGGACACAGGGGAUUGCUGUGCCAGCUGGGGCUGACCCUGGCUGGAGCAUCCUCAGGCACAGAUCUUGGUUGCAGUAGCGAGUACUCCAUCGAGUGAAGGGCAGUUACAACACUGCUGUGUGUGGUUGAGGACUGGAGUGGAGCAGGCUUCUGCAUCAAACAGCCGUUGAAUGCAGGUCAACCGACCGUGAGCCAAGUGGUAAGCUCAGAGUGCACUCUACCAAAGCCAUCAAGGCCUCUGGCAGCAGGCAAAGGCCAAGGGCGCGGGGCAGGCCUCAAACUGCCCCAGCCAAGAGCUUGUUUGUGCGUGGAGACUAUGUCCUCCUGCUGCUGGGGUGCUGUCUGAUGGGAUUGGCAAACAGGCAAGCAUGUGCAACAUUCUGCUGUGAUGGGCUUGGAACUCAACAGGGCAAACCCCUGAUGAAGGGUGGUGACACCUCGUGACUGGAGCAAGCAGGCUUUGGGGCAGUGCACCCCAUGGGGAGUUCUCGUUUCCUCCUGAUGCAGGCUCAUGUGGGCUACUGAUUGGCAUGACAAGUGGUGGUGUAUGCCCUCCUCUCAGCAAGGCAGUGCUCCCUCUGCACUGAUGGCUCUGCUUGUGUGGUGGCCUCUCUCUACCCAUGAUGAAGCUGUGCUCAGGCGCUGGAUUGGGACUGGUGUGCAACAGCCAAAACCCCUGCUGUGUGCAGGAGGUGUGUGCAGAAGAUUGCUCUGGAUGAUGACAACUGUGUGCCACAACACCAAAAUGGUGGUGGUCACUGGCUCCACUGAAAGGCCUGCAGGGACACUGUCUUCCUAGUCCCUGAUCGUCGUACUGAAUCACCGCAGCUGGUCUCCAUGACUUGACGUCGCUGGUCAACAGAUUGAAUGCAGCUAAGGGAAGUCGGCAAACUGGCUGUGUACCCUUGGAAGAUGCAGUGGCUCCAGAGGCCAAGUUGCUGGGACCUGCCACGGGUGGAUGUCUUCACGGUGGAGGCUGCUCUGUGCCAUUGGGUGUUCCCCUCUGGUGUGGAUGGGCCACUGCUGUGGGCUCCAUUCUUGUGGCAGGGGCUGAUCACCUGUGGGGUACAAAGCCCCGCAGUAGGCCAUCCUGGUGGCUACCUCGUGGCCCACAUGGAACUGUUGCUGUGCAGGGGAAUCUGACUGUUUAAUUGAAACCCAGCUUUGUGGCUGUGACAGGAAGGCUGCUGCCAUGAGGUGACUUCUGCCCAGUGCUCUGGUUGUCAAUGCCAAGAGAUUGAGCCAAGCGCGGGUAAACGGCGGGAGUAACUAUGACUCUCUUAAGGUAGCCAAAUGCCUCGUCAACCAAUUAUUGACGCGCAUGAAUGGAUCAACGAGAUUCCUGCUGUCCCUAGCUGCUACCUGGUGAACCAACAGCCAAGGGAACGGGCUUGGAUGUGUCACGGGGAAAGAAGAGCCUGUUGAGAG